GAAUUUUGGACAAUGGGCGAAAGCCUGAUCCAGCAAUGCCGCGUGCAGGAUGAAGGCCUUCGGGUUGUAAAGCACUUUAAGCAGUGAAGAAGACUCCAUGGUUAAUAUCCGUGGACGAUGACAUUAGCUGCAGAAUAAGCACCGGCUAACUCUGUGCCAGCAGCCGCGGUAAUACAGAGGGUGCAAGCGUUAAUCGGAAUUACUGGGCGUAAAGCGAGCGUAGGUGGCUUGAUAAGUCAGAUGUGAAAUCCCCGGGCUUAACCUGGGAACUGCAUCUGAUACUGUUAGGCUAGAAUAGGUGAGAGGAAGGUAGAAUUCCAGGUGUAGCGGUGAAAUGCGUAGAGAUCUGGAGGAAUACCGAUGGCGAAGGCAGCCUUCUGGCAUCAUAUUGACACUGAGGUUCGAAAGCGUGGGUAGCAAACAGG
RNAcentral lists this ribosomal RNA (425 nucleotides) under uncultured bacterium. RNAcentral's name for it is "bacterial SSU rRNA". It matches the Rfam family "Bacterial small subunit ribosomal RNA", at positions 359 to 776 of the family's 1533-position model. The record is from RNAcentral.